RNAcentral lists this ribosomal RNA (256 nucleotides) under uncultured bacterium. Its description in RNAcentral is "partial 16S ribosomal RNA". It matches the Rfam family "Bacterial small subunit ribosomal RNA", at positions 524 to 776 of the family's 1533-position model. The record is from RNAcentral.
UACGUAGGGGGCAAGCGUUGUCCGGAUUUAUUGGGCGUAAAGAGCGUGUAGGCGGCUAUGCAGGUCCGUUGUGAAAACUCGAGGCUCAACCUCGAGACGCCGAUGGAAACCGCAUGGCUAGAGUCCGGAAGAGGAGAGUGGAAUUCCUGGUGUAGCGGUGAAAUGACGCAGAUAUCAGGAGGAACACCGGUGGCGAAGGCGGGUCUCUGGGCAACAACUGACGCUGGAGGAGCGAAAGCCGUGGGGAGCGAACAGG